GUCUUAUAUUCAAAUAUGAUCUUAAAUUGCAAAUUUAAAGGUGACAUAAGUCUAAGGCU
This 59-nucleotide transfer RNA is filed under the name Monochamus sparsutus. Its description in RNAcentral is "tRNA-Cys". The record is from RNAcentral. Lineage: Eukaryota; Metazoa; Arthropoda; Insecta; Coleoptera; Cerambycidae.